GGUUAAGCGACUAAGCGUACACGGUGGAUGCCCUGGCAGUCAGAGGCGAUGAAGGACGUGCUAAUCUGCGAUAAGCGUCGGUAAGGUGAUAUGAACCGUUAUAACCGGCGAUUUCCGAAUGGGGAAACCCAGUGUGAUUCGUCACACUAUCAUUAACUGAAUCCAUAGGUUAAUGAGGCGAACCGGGGGAACUGAAACAUCUAAGUACCCCGAGGAAAAGAAAUCAACCGAGAUUCCCCCAGUAGCGGCGAGCGAACGGGGAGCAGCCCAGAGCCUGAAUCAGUGUGUGUGUUAGUGGAAGCGUCUGGAAAGGCGCGCGAUACAGGGUGACAGCCCCGUA
Molecule: ribosomal RNA, 340 nt
Filed under: Escherichia coli
Lineage: Bacteria; Pseudomonadati; Pseudomonadota; Gammaproteobacteria; Enterobacterales; Enterobacteriaceae
Also listed under: 1 other name
Description: partial 23S ribosomal RNA
Rfam family: Bacterial large subunit ribosomal RNA
Source: RNAcentral